RNAcentral lists this long non-coding RNA (1500 nucleotides) under Sus scrofa (pig). RNAcentral describes it as "lncRNA (ENSSSCG00060049844.1)". The record is from RNAcentral. Lineage: Eukaryota; Metazoa; Chordata; Mammalia; Artiodactyla; Suidae.
AUGGCGGCUGUCUUGGUGGAGAAUGCUGUUGCAAAAUCGCUUUCCAUUUCUAAGAAUUCGCUCCAUCUGUUACCCUCCUAACACUGUCUAGACAAUUUCAAAGUAUUACAUAAUUCAUAGUGGCUGAACACGUUCCUGUUUACUCCAGAGUUGGUUAACAAAGGUCACUGAUAAAAUAAUCUUUUUAACUGGAAUGAAAAACAUCUCAACAAUCCAAGACACUGAAGAGCUGGCCACACCAGGACUUUCUGAUAGUGAUUCAUGGGUGAAAUGAAAGCACAGCAGGCUCGCCAGUCCCUGGUUUCUGGCAAGGUUUUGACAGGUGUCCAAAAAUGAGACACCGGCUUGUGUCCACACUAGAGAAAUGGAGGCUGUUGUCUGUGGCCAGUCUUUUCAUUCUGCGACGGGCUGCGGAGCAAGAGCCUGGAGCUGGGGAUGCAGAACCGCCUGUCCAGGGAGGACCCGGGGCCGAGUUCCUGCAUAGGGCGCCUCAGAAGCUGUGGAAUGCACUUGACUCGGGCACCGAGUACUAGGACUCAAAGGAAAAGAAGAAGGAAAGGAAGCAGCACAGAAAGGAUAAACAUGGACAUGUUGAAAUGGCCCCAGACAGCAUCUGAAGAGCAACCGGAGCACGCCUACCGAUUUUUCAAAAGCCUGCAUCUGCGCAUGGGCGAGAGGUGGCCCACCACGCAGUGCCGAAUGAGCCCCGUGUCGCACGGCGAGAGGAAGGAGUAGACUGUGUUUCAUGACACCCAGUUGCCGCCUUUCACCCUCGACGUGCAAGAUUCAGCCGAAAGUGGGACUCACAUGCCAGUUGUACUGAGACUGCGGUGUCUUUGAAGCAGGGACGUCAGCGAUGUCACAGAAAUCUCCGUCUGAACAGCGGCGGUCCUGACGUCUUAGCUAAUGGGUGUGUGGCCUCGAAUGUGAGAAUGGUCCCCUUCAAGCCUCCCAACAGCUAUAAUUUGUGUAAGAAGCAAAGCCUGUCCUGAGCAGAGCCUCGCCCACACCAGUCGACUCUUCAUGGCUCCUCACAUUUCAAAGCUGUGCCUGGACCGCAUCUGGGGAUCUGGUUGGACACAGAUUGAUUCCGCAGGUCUGGGUGGGCUUGAGGGCCCGCCUUUCUGCCUCCUGGGGAUGCCAAGCCCUCAUCCUCAGGCCUGGAGAGGGCUUACUGAGUUUGAGAGACACAGAUCACCCACUCGCCAGGCCUCCGGUGUCACGGUCAGAUCCAGCCAUACAGCCCUAAGCCAGACUCGGCUCCUGCCCUCCAAGGGUGCAGGCAAAGAGGGCACGUUUGAAGUCCAUCGUGCAGGACUGAGGAUCCAUUGUACAUAUCAGAAGCUAACACGGGAAGUGAUUAAAAGUAACAAGAUAGAAAGUAUCAGAGAAAUCGAUCCUUUUAGAAGUCAGUGGUUGCCUCUGUCUCGUGGCUGGAAAGCCCUGGAAAGAUAUUCUUUGGAAAAGAUAUUCUUCCUGGGUAAGAAUUACCGCGUAUAA